Long non-coding RNA from Panicum virgatum (switchgrass), 436 nucleotides. RefSeq lists it as uncharacterized. The record is from RefSeq and is a predicted model, not a curated record. The transcript is spliced from 2 exons. Lineage: Eukaryota; Viridiplantae; Streptophyta; Magnoliopsida; Poales; Poaceae.
GCUUCUUGUCGGGGCCUUCACGUGGGCCUUCUCGUCGGGGCGGAGAGAUCAGCGACAUGGACAGGCCUUCUCGUGUGGGGCUUCACCGGGGGACGUGAACACCAGCUUGCUAAAAGAUUAGAUGUCCCUGCCCGGCGGAUUCUGAAUGCCCCAGUGGCUCGCGCACAUAAUUAGAUUUGAGUUCUCUGUUGGCGACGGUUAACAAUCCAUCGCUUCCAAGCCUUCCUCCUACCUGUGAGUUUGUGUUUGUUGAUGUCCUGGAAUCAUGGGAAGUAGCAGGUCUGCUCCCUAGGUGUUCGACAAAAUAUCCCGGUGCUAAGUUCCCAAGAGAGAGGGAGGGUAGUGUUGCGAUUGUUGUAAGAUGGACGGAGGCAGAGAGGAUAGUGCUUUGUGUUCUCAAUACUGUUAGAUUAUUGGUCCAUUUCUGUUGUGCGCC